GGGUUGUGAGGUUAAGCGACUAAGCGUACACGGUGGAUGCCCUGGCAGUCAGAGGCGAUGAAGGACGUGCUAAUCUGCGAUAAGCGUCGGUAAGGUGAUAUGAACCGUUAUAACCGGCGAUUUCCGAAUGGGGAAACCCAGUGUGUUUCGACACACUAUCAUUAACUGAAUCCAUAGGUUAAUGAGGCGAACCGGGGGAACUGAAACAUCUAAGUACCCCGAGGAAAAGAAAUCAACCGAGAUUCCCCCAGUAGCGGCGAGCGAACGGGGAGCAGCCCAGAGCCUGAAUCAGUAUGUGUGUUAGUGGAAGCGUCUGGAAAGGCGCGCGAUACAGGGUGACAGCCCCGUACACAAAAAUGCACAUAUUGUGAGCUCGAUGAGUAGGGCGGGACACGUGGUAUCCUGUCUGAAUAUGGGGGGACCAUCCUCCAAGGCUAAAUACUCCUGACUGACCGAUAGUGAACCAGUACCGUGAGGGAAAGGCGAAAAGAACCCCGGCGAGGGGAGUGAAAAAGAACCUGAAACCGUGUACGUACAAGCAGUGGGAGCACGCUUAGGCGUGUGACUGCGUACCUUUUGUAUAAUGGGUCAGCGACUUAUAUUCUGUAGCAAGGUUAACCGAAUAGGGGAGCCGAAGGGAAACCGAGUCUUAACUGGGCGUUAAGUUGCAGGGUAUAGACCCGAAACCCGGUGAUCUAGCCAUGGGCAGGUUGAAGGUUGGGUAACACUAACUGGAGGACCGAACCGACUAAUGUUGAAAAAUUAGCGGAUGACUUGUGGCUGGGGGUGAAAGGCCAAUCAAACCGGGAGAUAGCUGGUUCUCCCCGAAAGCUAUUUAGGUAGCGCCUCGUGAAUUCAUCUCCGGGGGUAGAGCACUGUUUCGGCAAGGGGGUCAUCCCGACUUACCAACCCGAUGCAAACUGCGAAUACCGGAGAAUGUUAUCACGGGAGACACACGGCGGGUGCUAACGUCCGUCGUGAAGAGGGAAACAACCCAGACCGCCAGCUAAGGUCCCAAAGUCAUGGUUAAGUGGGAAACGAUGUGGGAAGGCCCAGACAGCCAGGAUGUUGGCUUAGAAGCAGCCAUCAUUUAAAGAAAGCGUAAUAGCUCACUGGUCGAGUCGGCCUGCGCGGAAGAUGUAACGGGGCUAAACCAUGCACCGAAGCUGCGGCAGCGACACUAUGUGUUGUUGGGUAGGGGAGCGUUCUGUAAGCCUGUGAAGGUGUGCUGUGAGGCAUGCUGGAGGUAUCAGAAGUGCGAAUGCUGACAUAAGUAACGAUAAAGCGGGUGAAAAGCCCGCUCGCCGGAAGACCAAGGGUUCCUGUCCAACGUUAAUCGGGGCAGGGUGAGUCGACCCCUAAGGCGAGGCCGAAAGGCGUAGUCGAUGGGAAACAGGUUAAUAUUCCUGUACUUGGUGUUACUGCGAAGGGGGGACGGAGAAGGCUAUGUUGGCCGGGCGACGGUUGUCCCGGUUUAAGCGUGUAGGCUGGUUUUCCAGGCAAAUCCGGAAAAUCAAGGCUGAGGCGUGAUGACGAGGCACUACGGUGCUGAAGCAACAAAUGCCCUGCUUCCAGGAAAAGCCUCUAAGCAUCAGGUAACAUCAAAUCGUACCCCAAACCGACACAGGUGGUCAGGUAGAGAAUACCAAGGCGCUUGAGAGAACUCGGGUGAAGGAACUAGGCAAAAUGGUGCCGUAACUUCGGGAGAAGGCACGCUGAUAUGUAGGUGAAGUCCCUCGCGGAUGGAGCUGAAAUCAGUCGAAGAUACCAGCUGGCUGCAACUGUUUAUUAAAAACACAGCACUGUGCAAACACGAAAGUGGACGUAUACGGUGUGACGCCUGCCCGGUGCCGGAAGGUUAAUUGAUGGGGUUAGCCGCAAGGCGAAGCUCUUGAUCGAAGCCCCGGUAAACGGCGGCCGUAACUAUAACGGUCCUAAGGUAGCGAAAUUCCUUGUCGGGUAAGUUCCGACCUGCACGAAUGGCGUAAUGAUGGCCAGGCUGUCUCCACCCGAGACUCAGUGAAAUUGAACUCGCUGUGAAGAUGCAGUGUACCCGCGGCAAGACGGAAAGACCCCGUGAACCUUUACUAUAGCUUGACACUGAACAUUGAGCCUUGAUGUGUAGGAUAGGUGGGAGGCUUAGAAGUGUGGACGCCAGUCUGCAUGGAGCCGACCUUGAAAUACCACCCUUUAAUGUUUGAUGUUCUAACGUUGACCCGUAAUCCGGGUUGCGGACAGUGUCUGGUGGGUAGUUUGACUGGGGCGGUCUCCUCCUAAAGAGUAACGGAGGAGCACGAAGGUUGGCUAAUCCUGGUCGGACAUCAGGAGGUUAGUGCAAUGGCAUAAGCCAGCUUGACUGCGAGCGUGACGGCGCGAGCAGGUGCGAAAGCAGGUCAUAGUGAUCCGGUGGUUCUGAAUGGAAGGGCCAUCGCUCAACGGAUAAAAGGUACUCCGGGGAUAACAGGCUGAUACCGCCCAAGAGUUCAUAUCGACGGCGGUGUUUGGCACCUCGAUGUCGGCUCAUCACAUCCUGGGGCUGAAGUAGGUCCCAAGGGUAUGGCUGUUCGCCAUUUAAAGUGGUACGCGAGCUGGGUUUAGAACGUCGUGAGACAGUUCGGUCCCUAUCUGCCGUGGGCGCUGGAGAACUGAGGGGGGCUGCUCCUAGUACGAGAGGACCGGAGUGGACGCAUCACUGGUGUUCGGGUUGUCAUGCCAAUGGCA
Molecule: ribosomal RNA, 2721 nt
Filed under: Escherichia coli
Lineage: Bacteria; Pseudomonadati; Pseudomonadota; Gammaproteobacteria; Enterobacterales; Enterobacteriaceae
Description: bacterial LSU rRNA
Rfam family: Bacterial large subunit ribosomal RNA
Source: RNAcentral